GUUAGUAACGCGUGGGAACAUACCCUUUUCUACGGAAUAGCCUCGGGAAACUGAGAGUAAUACCGUAUAAGCCCUUCGGGGGAAAGAUUUAUCGGGAAAGGAUUGGCCCGCGUUAGAUUAGAUAGUUGGUGGGGUAAUGGCCUACCAAGUCUACGAUCUAUAGCUGGUUUGAGAGGAUGAUCAGCCACACUGGAACUGAGACACGGUCCAGACUCCUACGGGAGGCAGCAGUGGGGAAUAUUGCACAAUGGGCGAAAGCCUGAUGCAGCCAUGCCGCGUGUGUGAAGAAGGCCUUCGGGUUGUAAAGCACUUUCAGUCAGGAGGAAAGGGUGUGAGUUAAUACCUCACAUCUGUGACGUUACUGACAGAAGAAGCACCGGCUAACUCCGUGCCAGCAGCCGCGGUAAUACGGAGGGUGCGAGCGUUAAUCGGAAUUACUGGGCGUAAAGCG
This 451-nucleotide ribosomal RNA is filed under the name uncultured bacterium. RNAcentral describes it as "bacterial SSU rRNA". It matches the Rfam family "Bacterial small subunit ribosomal RNA", at positions 106 to 567 of the family's 1533-position model. The record is from RNAcentral.